Osmia bicornis bicornis is the source of this 587-nucleotide long non-coding RNA. RefSeq lists it as uncharacterized. NCBI's taxonomy places the organism in Eukaryota, Metazoa, Arthropoda, Insecta, Hymenoptera, Megachilidae. The transcript is spliced from 3 exons. The record is from RefSeq and is a predicted model, not a curated record.
UUCGUUAGUUCGUAACGUGCAGUAACAAUAAUAUCCGAGAGCACAGUUAGUUCGUAGUAAUAAUUCACGCCGCGCGCAGUUCGAAAUUCAAUUCAAGUACAAGUACUAAAAUCCGCAAAUAUAAUCCGCGAAGUACCUUUCCGAGUUCAAUCCUCAAGAAUCUACACGACUCUACUACGAAAGCUCAGUGCCUCGACAGAGCAAGAUUCCGGUAACUCGAUUAAUUAAAUAAGUCUGAACCUAUACGACUCUGCUACGAAGCACAGUACUUCGACAGAGCAAGGUUCCGUAAACUUCAAUUGUAAAAACGCUAGCGAAUCGAAAGACUGUACCAGUAGUGAAUAAACAUACUUGUGACCGGAAGUGCGUGAUCUUCACUCGAACCAUCUACCCUACCGUUCCAAUACCUGGACGACUCACCCCAACAGGUCCUAUUCGAAGAUAGGUUCUACUCGCCAAGUGAAAGGGAAAUGGGGACAGCGUUUUAAAGUUUGCACAAGGGCGGUUUAUAUGCACGAGAUAAUCUUAAAAAAAGAUGCGUGCCCUUGUAGGGUUUCAGGAGAUACGUCUUCAGAGGGAAGGCAUCG